This 418-nucleotide ribosomal RNA is filed under the name uncultured bacterium. RNAcentral's name for it is "bacterial SSU rRNA". It matches the Rfam family "Bacterial small subunit ribosomal RNA", at positions 97 to 507 of the family's 1533-position model. The record is from RNAcentral.
GGCGAACGGGUGAGUAAUGCAUCGGAACGUAUCCUGUAAUCGGGGGAUAACGUAGCGAAAGUUACGCUAAUACCGCAUACGCUCGAGAGAGGAAAGUGGGGAUCGCAAGACCUCACGUUAUAGGAGCGGCCGAUGUCCGAUUAGCUAGUUGGUGGGGGUAAAAGGGCCUACCAAGGCGACGAUCGGUAGCUGGUCUGAGAGGAUGAUCAGCCACACUGGGACUGAGACACGGCCCAGACUCCUACGGGAGGCAGCAGUGGGGAAUUUUGGACAAUGGGCGAAAGCCUGAUCCAGCCAUGCCGCGUGCGGGAAGAAGGCCUUCGGGUUGUAAACCGCUUUAGUCCGGGAAAAAGGGGUGCGAGGAUAAUACCCUCGUGCUUUGAUGGUACUGGAAGAAUAAGCACCGGCUAACUACGUG